AUGUCGGUAAUUAAAUGGGAGGAAAGGAGGAACGCUCACGCAGAGCUCAACGCCAUGAAGGAAGAGGCUGAGAAGAGCAAGCGGCGGCAGGAGGCCAUCUUGUCCGAGAAGGAUCGGGAGCUCUUGAGGUUGCGUGCGACCAUCUCUGCUUUAGAGGCUGAGCUGUGUGACAUGGAAAGGCUGCAGGGGGAAUACAAGCACCAGCUGGAGAGGCAGCAGGAUGAGGCCUUGCGAGAGAAGGAGAAAGAAUUAUUGCAAUUGCGGGAGGCGCUGGAGUGUGAAAAGCAACAAGUACUGCAAGAGGUGCAGAGCACUCUGCUUCAGGAGAGAAAGAAGUGGGAAGCAGAAGCGAGGGCUGCCCUCCAGAUGCAGCGGGAGGCUCUGCUAGAGAAGGACCGGAGGAUGCAGGCUGACCUCCGGGUAGCCCUGGAGGAAGAGAGGAAAACUGCCCUUGCUUUGCGGGACGAAACAGCCAACCUCCACGCGGUAAGAAUCACGGAGACGAAAACCGCUCAGAAAGGGAGCCCCAUAAGACAGUUGGGGCCUUUGUCCAGACGUUCAAGCGCCGUGUCCCAAAAGGAGUUGCAGGGCAUCCUCGCAGAGCUUGGGAAAAUGGACUGCGUUGAACGACCGGCCCUGGGCAUCCCACAGCCACAAAAGGCAAGCUCUCCGAAGCUCUGCCGGUUCUCCCCCUUCUGCCCUGCGCCUGUGACACAUCCCCACAACCCUCUGUGGGUUGGAGGACAACAUUGUACAUUACGGAGCUGGCUCCACCUGGAUCUGGCUCCUGGCUCAUGUAAACCCCCGAGAUGA
RNAcentral lists this long non-coding RNA (813 nucleotides) under Pogona vitticeps (central bearded dragon). RNAcentral describes it as "lncRNA (ENSPVIG00000020995.1)". The record is from RNAcentral. Lineage: Eukaryota; Metazoa; Chordata; Lepidosauria; Squamata; Agamidae.